AGUAACGCGUGGGCAACCUGCCCCAUAGAGGGGGACAACAGCUGGAAACGGCUGCUAAUACCGCAUAACAAGGAGAGAGCGCAUGUUCUUUUCUUCAAAGAUUUAUCGCUAUGGGAUGGACCCGCGCCUGAUUAGCUGGUUGGUGAGGUAACGGCUCACCAAGGCGACGAUCAGUAGCCGGCUUGAGAGAGUGGACGGCCACAUUGGGACUGAGACACGGCCCAGACUCCUACGGAAGGCAGCAG
RNAcentral lists this ribosomal RNA (245 nucleotides) under uncultured bacterium. RNAcentral describes it as "partial 16S ribosomal RNA". It matches the Rfam family "Bacterial small subunit ribosomal RNA", at positions 109 to 354 of the family's 1533-position model. The record is from RNAcentral.